This 427-nucleotide ribosomal RNA is filed under the name uncultured bacterium. Its description in RNAcentral is "partial 16S ribosomal RNA". It matches the Rfam family "Bacterial small subunit ribosomal RNA", at positions 355 to 774 of the family's 1533-position model. The record is from RNAcentral.
UGGGGAAUAUUGCACAAUGGGCGCAAGCCUGAUGCAGCCAUGCCGCGUGUAUGAAGAAGGCCUUCGGGUUGUAAAGUACUUUCAGCGAGGAGGAAGGCGUUGUGGUUAAUAACCGCAGCGAUUGACGUUACUCGCAGAAGAAGCACCGGCUAACUCCGUGCCAGCAGCCGCGGUAAUACGGAGGGUGCAAGCGUUAAUCGGAAUUACUGGGCGUAAAGCGCACGCAGGCGGUCUGUCAAGUCGGAUGUGAAAUCCCCGGGCUCAACCUGGGAACUGCAUCCGAAACUGGCAGGCUAGAGUCUUGUAGAGGGGGGUAGAAUUCCACGUGUAGCGGUGAAAUGCGUAGAGAUCUGGAGGAAUACCGGUGGCGAAGGCGGCCCCCUGGACAAAGACUGACGCUCAGGUGCGAAAGCGUGGGGAGCAAACA